CAUAUUUUUCCUUGUUCUUUCUUUCUUCGUAUCUCUUUCCCAUCUUCUUUGUUCUUCCUCCUCUGCGAGUGAUGAGAGCUGGUUUGAGAGAGAGAUACAAUCGAUGAGUGAGAGCAUAUGGAUAGAUUAUGUUGAUGGAGAGAUGAUGAUGUUGUUGAGGUUUAUUGAGUUGAGGAAAGAAGAAAAGAUGAUAUCUGAAAAAAUCAGAUUGGGGUUUAGGUUGGUUUUUGAGUUUGAUCAAGUUGAUAUGAUAAUUGAGUUCCUGAUGGAUGAAUAUUGAAUGGGUAGAUGGUUAAUUGUAGUUUUGAAGCUGAAUCGGUGAUGAAUCAGUAUAUAAGAGAACAAAUUAGGGUUGCAGAUUGAUUCGAAGUUUAAAUGAAAUUAUUAAGUUGAUUGAGUUCUUCAUAGAUGAAGGAUAAAUGGGUUAUUGUUGAAUUGAUGAUGUGAAGCAGUUCUGUUGAAGAUUCUGCAAAUUAGGGCUUCGUGUAAAUGAUCACAGAUGUGUUAGAAGAAGAAAUUGAAAUUGACGAAGACUAUGAGGCGUGAUUUGAAGAGUGGUAGAAGCUGAACGUGCUAAUGAAUUGAGGUGAUGGUUCUGUACAAUGAAUGGAAUUGUAGUUGCAGGUGAAAGAAUGAUGUUAGAUAUAGCUGGUUGUGUUGGGAUGGAGUUACAGUUGUGGACAAUGAUGGUGCGCUCAAGAACAAUGGCUAUAUGUUGCGAGAAUUGAAUGUGUUGCAGAAUGGUGGCUGGUGGUGUUGGUGUUGUUGUUCAUGGGGUUGGCAGUGAUGCCAGUGUAAUGGAUGUGGCGGUAUUAUAGCUAUGUUGGCUGAUGCAAGUGGUGUUGCUUCAAGGAAAUAAGUUAGUGAUGUUGUUGUUGUUGCAGGAAAGGUGUUGGUGGAUUAUUGUAUUAGUGGAAGGUUUGUUGUGGUGUCGAGAUUGAGAGCCAUCAUGGAUGAGAUGAAGAUGAAAUUUCAGGGUUAAGAAGAUAUUGAGCUUAUAUGGAUGGUUGGUGGUGUUUUAAUGCAAAGAAGCUGGUUUUAGAAUUGUUGUUAGUCUAGUUAAGAAGAAGUCAUGUUAAUGCUGAUUGAAAAAAGUGUAAAUGUUGGUUGUUGAUGUGGUAUGUGAUAUAAUUGUAAUGAAGAGUGAGGAGUAGAUUGAACAAUUAUAAUUUGGUGGUUUCAAUGGAGGCCUGCUUAGAACUACAAUUGUAGGUAAACUAAAUUAUCACUUGUAAUUGAGUUAUAAGGUUUAAUUAAGAAAGUGUAAUGUUGAGAUUUAUGGUGAACCAAAAUAGUAACUGCUGAUGAGAGUGGUUGGUUGUAUUGAUGUUUCAGCAGUGGCCUUAGUGAGACCCUGCAUCUGCAGAUCUAGGUAAGCUUAAUUACCGUUGUAUUGAAGUUAUAGAAUUUUAUUUGAAUAAAAUUUAUUUAAGAUAAA
Long non-coding RNA from Papaver somniferum (opium poppy), 1438 nucleotides. RefSeq lists it as uncharacterized. The record is from RefSeq and is a predicted model, not a curated record. NCBI's taxonomy places the organism in Eukaryota, Viridiplantae, Streptophyta, Magnoliopsida, Ranunculales, Papaveraceae. The transcript is spliced from 2 exons.